ACGGGUGAGUAACACGUGGGAACGUACCCUUUUCUACGGAAUAACCCAGGGAAACUUGGACUAAUACCGUAUGUGCCCUUCGGGGGAAAGGUUUAUCGGAAAAGGAUCGGCCCGCGUUGGAUUAGCUAGUUGGUGGGGUAAAGGCCUACCAAGGCGACGAUCCAUAGCUGGUCUGAGAGGAUGAUCAGCCACAUUGGGACUGAGACACGGCCCAAACUCCUACGGGAGGCAGCAGUGGGGAAUAUUGGACAAUGGGCGCAAGCCUGAUCCAGCCAUGCCGCGUGAGUGAUGAAGGCCUUAGGGUUGUAAAGCUCUUUCACCGGAGAAGAUAAUGACGGUAUCCGGAGAAGAAGCCCCGGCUAACUUCGUGCCAGCAGCCGCGGUAAUACGAAGGGGGCUAGCGUUGUUCGGAUUUACUGGGCGUAAAGCGCACGUAGGCGGAUCGAUCAGUCAGGGGUGAAAUCCCAGAGCUCAACUCUGGAACUGCCUUUGAUACUGUCGAUCUGGAGUAUGGAAGAGGUGAGUGGAAUUCCGAGUGUAGAGGUGAAAUUCGUAGA
Molecule: ribosomal RNA, 557 nt
Filed under: uncultured bacterium
Lineage: Bacteria
Description: bacterial SSU rRNA
Rfam family: Bacterial small subunit ribosomal RNA
Source: RNAcentral